CCUUUACUGACGCUAAAGCUCGAAGGUGCGGGUAUCGAACAGGAUUAGAUACCCUGGUAGUCCGCACGGUAAACGAUGGAUGCCCGCUGUUUGCGAUAUACUGUGAGCGGCCAAGAGAAAUCGUUAAGCAUCCCACCUGGGGAGUACGCCGGCAACGGUGAAACUCAAAGGAAUUGACGGGGGCCCGCACAAGCGGAGGAACAUGUGGUUUAAUUCGAUGAUACGCGAGGAACCUUACCCGGGCUUGAACUGCAGCGGAAGGAUAGAGAGAUCUUGACGCCCUUCGGGGCCGCUGUGGAGGUGCUGCAUGGUUGUCGUCAGCUCGUGCCGUGAGGUGUCGGCUUAAGUGCCAUAACGAGCGCAACCCUUUUCUUCAGUUGCCAUCAGGUGAUGCUGGGCACUCUGGAGACACUGCCACCGUAAGGUGUGAGGAAGGUGGGGAUGACGUCAAAUCAGCACGGCCCUUACGUCCGGGGCUACACACGUGUUACAAUGGGUGGUACAGAGAGUCGGUCGUCUGCAAAUGCGAUCCAAUCCUUAAAGCCAUCCUCAGUUCGGAUUGGGGUCUGCAACCCGACCCCAUGAAGCUGGAUUCGCUAGU
Molecule: ribosomal RNA, 601 nt
Filed under: uncultured bacterium
Lineage: Bacteria
Description: bacterial SSU rRNA
Rfam family: Bacterial small subunit ribosomal RNA
Source: RNAcentral